GACGAACGCUGGCGGCGUGCUUAACACAUGCAAGUCGAACGGAAAGGCCCUGCUUUUGUGGGGUGCUCGAGUGGCGAACGGGUGAGUAACACGUGAGUAACCUGCCCUUGACUUUGGGAUAACUUCAGGAAACUGGGGCUAAUACCGGAUAGGAGCUCCUGCUGCAUGGUGGGGGUUGGAAAGUUUCGGCGGUUGGGGAUGGACUCGCGGCUUAUCAGCUUGUUGGUGGGGUAGUGGCUUACCAAGGCUUUGACGGGUAGCCGGCCUGAGAUGGUGACCGGCCACAUUGGGACUGAGAUACGGCCCAGACUCCUACGGGAGGCAGCAGUGGGGAAUAUUGCACAAUGGGCGGAAGCCUGAUGCAGCAACGCCGCGUGCGGGAUGACGGCCUUCGGGUUGUAAACCGCUUUCGCCUGUGACGAAGCGUGAGUGACGGUACUGGGUAAAGAAGCACCGGCUAACUACGUG
RNAcentral lists this ribosomal RNA (468 nucleotides) under uncultured bacterium. Its description in RNAcentral is "partial 16S ribosomal RNA". It matches the Rfam family "Bacterial small subunit ribosomal RNA", at positions 28 to 507 of the family's 1533-position model. The record is from RNAcentral.